RNAcentral lists this long non-coding RNA (838 nucleotides) under Helianthus annuus (common sunflower). RNAcentral's name for it is "sRNA HanXRQr2_Chr16g0741731". Lineage: Eukaryota; Viridiplantae; Streptophyta; Magnoliopsida; Asterales; Asteraceae. The record is from RNAcentral.
UUUGAGCGGGAUUAUUUUUAUUUUUAGAGCGCCAUAUAUUAUCCACAAUUAACUCACAUAACCAGCCUCUCCACUAAUUAGGGUUUUGAUUGAAUAUUAAAACAAGAAACAUAAUACUACGUACCCUUAUACAUCAUUCUAUCAACCUCUGAAUCGAAGAACUGGAGCUUCUGCAGAAGUUGCUGCUGCUGGAUUGAGGUUCUGUUUGUGCUUCUGUUUGACAGAUGAUGAUAGGGUUAUGCAUCUUAAACUGGUUGCGAUUGUAAAAGAAUGGCACCUGUUAAUCAUCCAGAGGUAGAAAGAAAUAUUCCAAAAAGUUCUCUGCUUUGCAUCAUCAUCACCAAAAUCUUUGUGAUUUAAUCUUUGGGGUUCUUGUUCUUCAUCAUUAUCAUCGUAUUAUUAUUAUUAUUAUUGUUAAAUGUUAAUAUCGAUCUGGGUCACCGACUGCUUUGUGGGUUCUCUAUUUCAUUGAUGAGAAGAAUAUCCAUUGGGGUUUAUUGGGAUUCACCAUUCAGCAAGAAGUCGUAGAACAACGGCAGAGAGAGGUGGGUGGGGAGGAGAGAGAAGCGGCGGAGAGAAGGGGUAGAGAAGGUAGAGGAGAGAGAGGAAACCAUAGUGGUGGUUAUAGUGGAAGUGGAUGAAGGAGAUGGGUAGAUAAGGAGUGUGUUUAUUUAUAUAUAUUUUUAUUUUAAUUAAUUUAGUUUUAGUGUAAAAUUACCAACUUACCCUCAUGUGCAAGGCACAUGUCAUACUUAACUGAAAAUUUUGACAAGGUUAGUGUUAAAGGACGUAAGGUGUAAUGUGUUUUACAAAUAAAGGAUUGUGACUGUAAUUAUUA